RNAcentral lists this ribosomal RNA (446 nucleotides) under Acinetobacter sp. oral taxon C51. Its description in RNAcentral is "bacterial SSU rRNA". It matches the Rfam family "Bacterial small subunit ribosomal RNA", at positions 30 to 476 of the family's 1533-position model. The record is from RNAcentral. Lineage: Bacteria; Pseudomonadati; Pseudomonadota; Gammaproteobacteria; Moraxellales; Moraxellaceae.
AUUGAACGCUGGCGGCAGGCUUAACACAUGCAAGUCGAGCGGAGCGAGGGUGCUUGCACCUUAGCUUAGCGGCGGACGGGUGAGUAAUGCUUAGGAAUCUGCCUAUUAGUGGGGGACAACAUUCCGAAAGGGAUGCUAAUACCGCAUACGCCCUACGGGGGAAAGCAGGGGAUCUUCGGACCUUGCGCUAAUAGAUGAGCCUAAGUCGGAUUAGCUAGUUGGUGGGGUAAAGGCCUACCAAGGCGACGAUCUGUAGCGGGUCUGAGAGGAUGAUCCGCCACACUGGGACUGAGACACGGCCCAGACUCCUACGGGAGGCAGCAGUGGGGAAUAUUGGACAAUGGGGGGAACCCUGAUCCAGCCAUGCCGCGUGUGUGAAGAAGGCCUUUUGGUUGUAAAGCACUUUAAGCGAGGAGGAGGCGCUCUAGGAUAAUACCCUAGAUGCG